This 340-nucleotide unclassified non-coding RNA is filed under the name soil metagenome. Its description in RNAcentral is "partial contains 5.8S ribosomal RNA, internal transcribed spacer 2, and large subunit ribosomal RNA". The stretch from base 1 to 120 matches the Rfam family "5.8S ribosomal RNA", at positions 35 to 154 of the family's 154-position model. The record is from RNAcentral.
GAUGAAGAACGUAGCGAAAUGCGAUACGUAAUGUGAAUUGCAGAAUUCAGUGAAUCAUCGAGUCUUUGAACGCACAUUGCGCCCCCUGGUAUUCCGGGGGGCAUGCCUGUCCGAGCGUCAUUGCUGCCCUCAAGCACGGCUUGUGUGUUGGGCUCCGUCCCCCCGGGGACGGGCCCGAAAGGCAGCGGCGGCACCGAGUCCGGUCCUCGAGCGUAUGGGGCUUUGUCACCCGCUCUGUAGGCCCGGCCGGCGCCAGCCGACAACCCAUCAUCCUUUUCAGGUUGACCUCGGAUCAGGUAGGGAUACCCGCUGAACUUAAGCAUAUCAAAUAAGCGGAGGA